This 318-nucleotide ribosomal RNA is filed under the name Triticum aestivum (bread wheat). RNAcentral's name for it is "partial small subunit ribosomal RNA". The record is from RNAcentral. Lineage: Eukaryota; Viridiplantae; Streptophyta; Magnoliopsida; Poales; Poaceae.
AUGAUAUGCCAUUUGGGCUGUUUGUUGGAGUUAAACAACCAUUUCCAGAGCAUUAUCUUUGGCGGUGUGCUUGUCAGGGAUGAGACAAAGGAAACUUUCGAGGCGGUUUUCAGCGAAUUCAUCUGCAUGACGGGUGGCAAACAUCCUCGGACCAUUCUUACAGAUCAAUGUAGAGCUAUGGAGCUUGCAAUAGAGAAAGUAAUGCCGGACAUCACACACCGGUGGUGCAAGUGGCACAUCCUGAAGAAGGCUAAGGAAAAACUUGUGCAUACUACUCAAAACGAAGCGAUUUCAGAGCAGAAUUUCAUAAAGUUGUGA